RNAcentral lists this ribosomal RNA (250 nucleotides) under uncultured prokaryote. RNAcentral's name for it is "partial 16S ribosomal RNA". It matches the Rfam family "Bacterial small subunit ribosomal RNA", at positions 524 to 773 of the family's 1533-position model. The record is from RNAcentral.
UACGUAGGGGGCAAGCGUUGUUCGGAAUUACUGGGCGUAAAGGGCGCGUAGGCGGCACAGCAAGUCGGGAGCGAAAGCCCGGGGCUCAACCCCGGAACUGCUUUCGAAACUGCUGAGCUAGAGUACAGAAGGGGCAACCGGAAUUCCCAGUGUAGCGGUGAAAUGCGUAGAUAUUGGGAAGAACACCUGAGGCGAAGGCGGGUUGCUGGGCUGAUACUGACGCUGAGGCGCGAAAGCCAGGGGAGCAAAC